CGUGUAGGCGGCCUAGCAAGUCGGGUGUGAAAGCCCUCGGCUUAACCGAGGAAGUGCGCCCGAAACUACUAGGCUUGAGUACCGGAGAGGGUGGCGGAAUUCCCGGUGUAGAGGUGAAAUUCGUAGAUAUCGGGAGGAACACCAGCGGCGAAGGCGGCCACCUGGACGGAUACUGACGCUGAGACGCGAAAGCGUGGGGAGCAAACA
Molecule: ribosomal RNA, 207 nt
Filed under: uncultured delta proteobacterium
Lineage: Bacteria; Deltaproteobacteria
Description: partial 16S ribosomal RNA
Rfam family: Bacterial small subunit ribosomal RNA
Source: RNAcentral